ACAAGGCAUUUUAAAAUGUUGCUGGUGAAAACACGAUUUAUUUAGGAAACCCUUUUUGUUGGCUGUGGUGCAUGGUGCUGUACAUAUUCAUUCCUAUGGAGACUUGUGUUCGUAGUUUCACCUAGGGAUGUUAUAACUUGAGCUAACAGGUGUUAGAACUAACCGUAUGUUCGGAAAGAUCAGUUAUGACUAGCGAUACACACCGAACUCAUGAAUUGGCAUUUGACCAGGCAAGCCUUUGACUAGAUGUGGUCACCUAACUAUACCGAGUGUAGAGCUACUGGCCACUGCAUUGAAACGUAGCUGGCUGCAGUAAUUACUCAGCGAGAUGUGCGUGAAUGCACGAGCUCAGCUGACACAUACAACACAGACAUCAAGCAGUUGUUACAGGCUGCUAUUUAGUGGUUGUGACGGCAUUUGAUUGCGUUUUUGUUUUCAUCAUAUAACACAUUUGGCAUAACCUCUGGUAGGUACACAGAAUACAGCAGUCGGAUCACUUGUCCAUCUUGCAUUGCUCCAGGGCAGGCAGCUGUGGAGUUACGAGUUGCUAUGCAACCUGCUCCCACUGUCUGUCACAUUUUCAUUCAUAUCCGUGAAUAGCUUGGAAAGCCAGAUGCAGUCGAAUAUUAGGUUUAUGUUUCCUUGACAUUUCUGUCUCUGUUCUGACUCAGACCAUUUUCUUGUAUAGAAUUCGAGAGGCUUAUUGUAGAUCAUUGAAAGAUAUAUUCUGUAUUUCUUCCUAAUGUCCGCAAUUCUCAUCUACAGAAGUUCCCGAAGAAAGCAACAUGAUGAAGCAAAACUCCACCCUCACCACUACGUUGGAGUCUUCCCAUUCAGUCAUCAUCCAAUUUGCUCCAAACACAAGCAGACACUUCUUACAGAUGGCUGUCCUCUAGAAUGAAAAUGCACACCAACCACCGGCAAACAUCAAAAGCUAAUCCAACCUUUGGUCUUCGGAAACCCCGUGACUAAUGCAAUGUUGGUGCCCUAGAAGACAAGUCAGCGCAGUUCAGACGAGCCAGCCAGAGGAGGUCACCGCCAGCCUUGUAUCGAGGUCCCAACGUCCUUCAUCGGGGAACUCGGCAUGGAUAUGCAAGACAACACUCGAAUCACUGUUGGACAAAUGCCUGAAACGGCUGGAAAAAUAGAAAAGAUGGUUACAGAGACUGUUAUUGCUGUUCUUCUUUCAAUACAAUAUUUGCCUUCCAUAAAAUAUUCCCAUGUUCCAA
This is a long non-coding RNA of Engraulis encrasicolus (European anchovy), 1229 nucleotides long. RefSeq lists it as uncharacterized. The record is from RefSeq and is a predicted model, not a curated record. NCBI's taxonomy places the organism in Eukaryota, Metazoa, Chordata, Actinopteri, Clupeiformes, Engraulidae. The transcript has 3 exons.